UAAUACGUAGGCAGCGAGCGUUGUUCGGAGUUACUGGGCGUAAAGGGUGCGUAGGCGGUUAUUUAAGUUUGGUGUGAAAUCUCCCGGCUUAACCGGGAGGGUGCGCCGAAUACUGAAUGACUAGAGUGCGGGAGAGGAGAGUGGAAUUCCUGGUGUAGCGGUGAAAUGCGUAGAUAUCAGGAGGAACACCGGUGGUGUAGACGGCUCUCUGGACCGUAACUGACGCUGAGGCACGAAAGCGUGGGUAGCAAACAGG
Molecule: ribosomal RNA, 256 nt
Filed under: uncultured archaeon
Lineage: Archaea
Description: partial 16S ribosomal RNA
Rfam family: Bacterial small subunit ribosomal RNA
Source: RNAcentral